UGGGGAAUAUUGCACAAUGGGCGCAAGCCUGAUGCAGCCAUGCCGCGUGUGUGAAGAAGGCCUUCGGGUUGUAAAGCACUUUCAGCGAGGAGGAAGGGUGGUGUGUUAAUAGCACAUCACAUUGACGUUACUCGCAGAAGAAGCACCGGCUAACUCCUUGCCAGCAGCCGCGGUAAUACGGAGGGUGCAAGCGUUAAUCGGAAUUACUGGGCGUAAAGCGCACGCAGGCGGUUUGUUAAGUCAGAUGUGAAAUCCCCGCGCUUAACGUGGGAACUGCAUUUGAAACUGGCAAGCUAGAGUCUUGUAGAGGGGGGUAGAAUUCCAGGUGUAGCGGUGAAAUGCGUAGAGAUCUGGAGGAAUACCGGUGGCGAAGGCGGCCCCCUGGACAAAGACUGACGCUCAGGUGCGAAAGCGUGGGGAGCAAACA
RNAcentral lists this ribosomal RNA (427 nucleotides) under uncultured bacterium. RNAcentral's name for it is "partial 16S ribosomal RNA". It matches the Rfam family "Bacterial small subunit ribosomal RNA", at positions 355 to 774 of the family's 1533-position model. The record is from RNAcentral.